Vigna unguiculata (cowpea) is the source of this 1212-nucleotide unclassified non-coding RNA. The record is from RefSeq and is a predicted model, not a curated record. Lineage: Eukaryota; Viridiplantae; Streptophyta; Magnoliopsida; Fabales; Fabaceae.
UUCAUUUGAAAAAACGCACACUCUGUGAAGAGGGUCUCAUCAUUCACGUGUCUCUCCCUUAUCUUCUGCUUGUUCUCUUCUCUUCUAUUACUUUUUCUCUUCUCUCCUCGUUGUUUUCUGUUUGUUUCCCGAGAAUAACGUAAUUGGGAUUUUUGUGGGGCUGUCUGUUUAUAAAGGAUCUCUAUCACUUUCUUAUGAUUCAACACUGGUUUUCAUGCAAAAGGUUUUAGUUUUAGAGGUAAAAAUAAAAUGGAAGGGAAUAAGCAAAAGGGCAUCUCGUCGUCCUUCACUUCUGAGUUCUUUGAGUCCAUCAAAGAGUCUCAUCCUCCUCCUUCUUCUGCUGGUGGUUGGAUUUUUGGGUCCAUUUUUUCACCUCCAUCGCCCAAGACCAAGGUGUUGGGGAGAGAAUCUCUGCGCUCUGAAUUGAGUCGAAAAAUUGCCAAUGAAACCCGGAACUCCAAAAUUGGUAUUCAAGAUCACUCCUCCAAGUACAGUGGUAGCGAAGCUCAUAACACUGUGAAUAAGGAUAUGAGUUCCAUCUAUCAGGAUCAGAGAGUUCAACCGUGUCACCUUAGUUCAUCAAUUCAUUAUGGGGGCCAGGACAUCUGUCCUAGUCCUCAGAGUAUCCAUAAUGAGGGGUUCAACACUUUGCCGUACCAGAAUGAUGCCGGAGAUGAUGAAUCAGAACUUGCUUCAAGAGGAAACUGGUGGCAAGGGUCUCUCUAUUAUUAAGAUCACCCUUGCCCAAGGUACAUAGCAGGAUAGUGUACUCCAUCGUUUGUUAUAUGGAAGAGCCAUACAGUAAUGUUGUGGAUAGCAAUUGGCUUUGACAAAAUCAUCAUAUGAAUGUAUUAUCAUAGUGUCUUUUGUAGGCACACCUGCACCGUCAUCAGAGCUUCACCAGGGUAAGGAAAUGUCAAGCCAGCAACCAGAUACUAGAGCCGCGCAAAAGAUUUGUGGAGUACAACUUGGUGUUGUAAGAACAUUUACCAUGCACACUACACUUAUAUAGUUAUUAAGCUACAUGAUUGGGAGGAAACCACCUCAAAAAGGCUUGUAGAGUAAUUACCACUAAGUACAAAUGUUUGUGGUUUAUAUUGGGUAACAGUUCCUAAACAAGGCUCUGAAAACAAUUACAUGUUAUCAGUGUCUUACUAGGUUCUUUCCCUAUGAUUUUUGUUCAAGGAAAAUAGGUUGUACAUGAUUUGUUGU